GUCUGGGGAAAGCAGAAGUGAGUAUUGUGCGAGCCAUUCUUAUAUAAAGUGUCCAAGAUGAGGAGAUCCAACUGCCCAGCCCCAGCAUUUGAAAUCACAUACUCUGUACUGGCAGGGGAGUGAAACAUCAGAUAUAUAGGCUACUCUACUUUUUUCACCAAAGAGAAAACCCAAAGAAAUAUAGUCUUCUCCGUGCAUCACUGGCAAAGGCACAAAUUUUACACCCGAUGUAACAAAUGGUCUUUGACAGUCUUCCUCAAUUAUUUUCCAAUCAAGCUGUGCUACUCGUCUUACUUCUUGACCUUCCCUUAA
Molecule: unclassified non-coding RNA, 312 nt
Filed under: Hevea brasiliensis (rubber tree)
Lineage: Eukaryota; Viridiplantae; Streptophyta; Magnoliopsida; Malpighiales; Euphorbiaceae
Source: RNAcentral